CAAGUACAGGAAGUAGAAGAGAGUCCAGAGCUGCUUUGGGAAGCCUUCCUUUAACUCACGCUAUGAGAAGUUGGGUGGCCUAGGUUCAGAACCAGGGUGUGUCUCUAAUGCUGUGCAAACUCGGGUGAAUCCUCUCUGGAAGUAACUAAGCUGAAGCUGAUGUUUACUGUCCCGGGCAUGUGUCAUCUUCUAUUUAUGCAUGCAAAACCUGCCCACCACACUCACUGAGCGUUCAUACGGAGCACCAUGCCCAGGGAGGAGUAACCCCCGGCAGCGAAGUGGUCCCGGUAGCGGCCCAUGCGGAUGGAGUCCAGCCAGUCUCCCACGGUGAGGCCCCCGCUGCCACCCCCGCCCCCUCGGAGGUCAAAGCAGCUCCGGGCAAAGGCGGGGGGCGGACACCUGAGGCACAGGGUCCCUAGGUACCUCCAGGACGUCCCCACACGCCCAAGCCCUGCAGCUCACCAGAGCCGAUGAUUUUCUCGAUGUGGAUCCAAGACGCCUCGAUCUCUCGGGUGAAACCACGGCCUGUCCGGCCCGGCUCCUCGGUAGGAGUGUGACCAAGAGUGGUUUCACCACAGUACCGACUGAGGUGGAUGGAAAGUGGUUCUCUAAAAGACUGGGUUAAGAAGGAUUCUGAGGCCACAUUCAGGCUCCAUAGGAAUCAGUACCAUGAUUGAUUCUACCAUGGGCAAAGAAGUGGAGUGUUGAGCCCCAGCCCAGCACUGACUCCUGCUGUGAUCGCCCCUCUCCCCUCUGGACCACGGGGCUCCUGCACUCACCCUGCCCAUUCUGAUAAUGCAUCUUCUCCUCGUCCGAGUGCUGGAAGGCCUUGCUGUAGCCACAAUGCCUGUGGAGGAGGACGGUCCUCAGCUUCAGCCCUGACCCCCAUCAGUGACACGUGCGAAUUCCCCCUUUCUUUCCUUCAUCCCCUUUCAAGUCAGUUCCGGCCACCCCAGCCACUGCCCUUGGGACAUCCUUGACAUUCACAAACACGGCAUGGGGCUUCGCUGGUGGUCCAGGGGUUAUGAAUCAGCCUUGGAACAUAGGGGAGGCGGGUUCAAUCCCUGAUCAGGGAACUGAAGUCCCACAUGCUGCAGAGCACCUAAGCCCAUAUGCCACAACUGGAGAGUCUGUGCACCUCAACACAAGAUCCCGCAACUAAACCCAACGCAGCCAAAUAAAUAACCA
This is a long non-coding RNA of Bubalus bubalis (water buffalo), 1188 nucleotides long. RefSeq lists it as uncharacterized. The record is from RefSeq and is a predicted model, not a curated record. NCBI's taxonomy places the organism in Eukaryota, Metazoa, Chordata, Mammalia, Artiodactyla, Bovidae. The transcript is spliced from 6 exons.